AUUGUCGACAAGAAUAACUUGGUGGUCACCACUCCUGCCUUUAUGUAUGAUACGCCGAAUUUCCACGAGAUUUAUGAUGGAGUUGGCAAAAUGAUUCUAGCACUUCUUCAUUUGUUAGGAAGCAAAUAAAUGCAGAAAAAUUGGAAUAUUUUGACAAAAGACUUUACACGAGAUAUAGUAUAUGUAAUAUUUACAAAAAUUGAAUUUUUCAACAAAAAUUAGGCCAAAAAAUAAUUACAACAAUAAAAAUUAUCAUAAUAAGCCCUUGUUCCUAUUUUAAAAGUCUUUUGUUAUGGUAUAUGAUGAUUUAUGAUUGAAAAUUUCAUCUCUCUUUUAUGAAGGUUUGCAAACCUCAAUUAUGUUUUCUGUGGUGUUCAUUUGUAUGAAAUUACUUGAAACAGUUUUUGAUUAUUAAAAGUUAUUUUUGCUUAUUCAGUUUUAAUUAUAGAUGAAUUUUCAAUUAUUGGAUAACUGAUAUAUCAAUUAUUUUUGUAAUCAUUUCUUGGAAUUAAUAAGCAAACAAAUUAGUAUGUAUUUAAAUUCAAUUAUUGAUGAAUUAAUAGUAAUAUUUAUCAUAAUAUAAAUAUAUUGUGUAUGCUUUUAAGAAUAUUUUUUUUAAACAUUUUAAAAGACAUUUCUAAACAUUGAAGGACUAUGGAAAACUUCUUUAAAGAUUUAUUGUGUUUCUAUCAAUUAAAAAAUUAUAAAGUUUUCAUUCCUUUGAUACUUGCUAUUGAAAAAUAUAAUAAUCUACUUUAUUCUAUUUUUAUGUUAUAUAUAUAUAUAUAUAUUAUUAAGAACUACUGUGUUCUGUUAAUAGGAGAAAAAACAAACAGUUCUAGUUAUGCUCACUUCCUGUUUAGUAUCUUCUAUCAUUGCUGUUUUGCAAUGUUUGAUCUCUAAACAAUUAACCGUAGCCCAUUGGAAAGUUUUUAUUCUAACUUAGAAGUAAUUUUUUUACCUUUAUCCUAGUCUAUAGAGUUCUUUGUACUGUUGAAGAACCUAUAGAAAUUACUGUAUUCGCAUACAAUAAACACAUCGGUUACAACAGGCUGCAAGUGUGUUUGACUCAUUUCAGUAGCAAUAGUUAAAGGUGUUGCCUCAAAGUUGAUUAAGACCUUUAAAUGUGAAAGCAGCUUGAAUGCACUCAUCAUUUUAUAAGGAGGGAAACAGCAAAAGGAACCUACUUACCUAUUAUAAUGAAGUCCUUGUCCUCCUAGUGUCAACUGUGUAUUUUUGAGUAUUUGCUUAAUUUUUUGGAAGAUUUAAAUCUUUGUAUAAAUUAGCACAGCACUACAGGAUUCUUUGGCAUAUCAUGAAAGGCUAAACAUUGAUUUCUAUUGGAGAUAGCAGAGCAUUGAGGAAAUAAAUCAUACAAACACUAUGAAAACUCCAGAAAAAUUUUAAUCAAAAAUAUUUUCAAACCAGUUUAAUGGUUCAGCUUCAGUUGCUUACUACUAUGUUUGAAUAAAGGACUGAAUUCUUAAGAUAUUUGUAUGAUUUGUUUUGUAUAACUUUCCAAUUAUGUGUGGUUAUUGAUUGAGAGCAUUGAGAUAUAAAUAUACCAUCCAAUUGUUGUGUAUUAUCUUUUUUGUAUAGUAUAGGCAGAUGUACUAUCAAAAAGUAUAUUAAAUGUGUUGUGUCUUUGGAUUUCUAAGUUUAAGCAACAGUUCUCACACAGCUUAAUAAAAUAUAAAAUCAUGUCCAAGUUAACACUAUUUUAAUUUACUAUUAAAAUUAUUAAGUAAUGUAUUAACUCAUGUUUCUAAUUUCAUAUAUUGUUUUACUGAAUAUUAAAUAAGCAUGAUAUAAAGCAAUUUGUUAUAGCUGAUGUGUUUAUUGUAAAUGGUUACAGCAACUUGUACAGGUUCUUUCACAGUACAUAGAACUCUAUAGAGUAGGCUAAAAGUAAAGUUAGAAAAAUUAUUUCCCAACAAGCUGUAGGUACAGUACUUGUUUAGAGAUCAUACACACCAUAAAAUGUGAUGAAAUAGCAAUGAUAGAAUA
This is a long non-coding RNA of Centruroides sculpturatus (bark scorpion), 2007 nucleotides long. RefSeq lists it as uncharacterized. The record is from RefSeq and is a predicted model, not a curated record. The transcript has 2 exons. Lineage: Eukaryota; Metazoa; Arthropoda; Arachnida; Scorpiones; Buthidae.